This 28-nucleotide non-coding RNA is filed under the name Cricetulus griseus (Chinese hamster). Lineage: Eukaryota; Metazoa; Chordata; Mammalia; Rodentia; Cricetidae. The record is from RNAcentral.
UGGAGAUGAAGGGUCUGAAGAUGAAGCC